GUAUUUUGACUAUACGAAGGUAUUGAAAUAAGGCUUUAAAUGAGUGCUAAGAGAAUGGUUGAACAAUUAUAGGCUUUCUUUAAUUAAUAAAUUGAAGUUAAUGUUUUUGUGAAGAAGCAGGAAUGAAGAUUAGGGACAAGAAGACCCUAUGAAUUUUAUAAUUAAAAUAUAAAUUAUUUUUUAUAUUUUUUAAUUUUAAUUGGGGCGAUGAGAAAAGAAUAAUUAUCUUUUUUUUUAAGGAAUUAAUUUGAUCCAUUAAUAGUGAUUAGAUGAUUAAAAUACUCUAGGGAUAACAGCGUAAUAAUUUCGGAUAGUUCAUAUAGAUGGAAUAGUUUGCGACCUCGAUGUUGGAUUAGGAUACUUUUUUGGUGGAGA
Molecule: ribosomal RNA, 375 nt
Filed under: Ixodes ovatus complex sp. Group 3
Lineage: Eukaryota; Metazoa; Arthropoda; Arachnida; Ixodida; Ixodidae
Also listed under: 1 other name
Description: partial 16S ribosomal RNA
Source: RNAcentral